ACCCCCAUCUGCUGUCCGAUAAGCCUACUGUUUGCCGAAUUGAUCUAAAAGAUGUAGGCUUUAGCCCAAGAUACGUAAUCUCACUACUACACACACGUCCUGCUGCUGUAGGGCAGCGUUACACUGCCAGGGUUUAGUUUAGAUAAGGGAUUGGUGUGAACUUUAUCUUACAAUCAACUGUACACAAUAGUGGGCCAAACGUUAGACAAGCACACACGGUGCUUCUGCUUUUUGGAGCUACGUUAGCAGGCUAAGCUACAAAAGUAACCUGCUAACUCAUUUUGAUAAUUGUAAGUUCAGAGUUCAGAGUGACGUCCCACAGUUAGCUGGCGGGUCUCUCUUCCUCAGUGGCCACAGUCUGAGCCUCCGCCACCAUGACAGACAACAAGCGUCUCGCCUUCUCCAUCCUCCAGUUCCUCCAUGACCAGCUCCAGUCAGGGGAUCUGACCUCAGGCGCCCAGGAGAGUCUGGAAGUUGCCGUUCAGUGUUUGGAGACGGCGUUUGAAGUCUCGACCGACGACCAGACCCUCGCCGUCCCCAUGACGUUACCAGAGAUCUUCGCCUCAGCCACAGACAAAUUUCCAGUCGAGUCGCACGUCAACAACAACUCUGCUCCUCCACAGCCUCCGAACUCCCUCACCGAGGACCAGAGAGAAGAGGCAGAGAUGCUCAAAACUGAUGGUAACGACCAAAUGAAAGUGGAGAACUUUGCUGCUGCUGUUGAGUUUUACUCAAAGGCCAUCGCCAUUAACCCUCAGAACGCCGUCUAUUACUGCAACAGGGCUGCAGCGUACAGUAAACUAGGGAACUAUGCCGGAGCGGUGCAGGACUGUGAACAGGCCAUCAGCAUCGACCCAAACUACAGCAAAGCCUACGGGAGGAUGGGUUUGGCUCUGGCCAGCCUCAACAAACACACGGAAGCAGCGACUUACUAUAAGAAAGCUCUGGAGCUCGACCCUGACAAUGACACGUACAAAACCAACCUGAAGAUCGCAGAGGAGAAGAUGGAAACUUCCAGUCCAACAGCAGGAAUGGGUGGAGUAGAUCUGGCAGGUCUGCUCAGUAACCCCGGCUUCAUGAACAUGGCGUCCUCUCUGAUGACCAAUCCUCAGGUUCAGCAGCUGAUGUCAGGGAUGAUGUCAGGAGCAUACGGCGGGGGGCCAGGAGGAGCAGGUGUAGGAGGAGGUGGACUAGGAGGUGCAGGAGGAGGUGGACUAGGAGGUGGACUAGGAGGUGGACUAGGAGGUGCACUAGGAGGUGGACUAGGAGGUGGACUAGGAGCUGGAUUAGGAGGACUAGGAGCAGGGCUAGGAGCAGGAGUAGGCGGAGGACUUGGAGGAAGUGCGGCGCCCCCGCAGCCGCUGCACCUGCUGGAGCUGGGGACUUAUCGGGACUGAUCCAGGCAGGUCAGCAGUUCGCUCAGCAGAUGCAGCAGCAGAACCCCGAACUCAUCGAACAGCUGAGGAGUCAAAUCCGCAACCGAACGCCCAGCGCUGGAAACGAGGAGCAGCCAUGACACUCAGAUACAGUGGGACAGGUUUGCUAGUGGAUGAGAAGAGCUGAUUUGGAUCAUUUAUAACUCGAAGGACUAAAAGGAAGUUAUUUUUUUUGUUUAUUUCCCCCCCCCCAAUCACUGAAUAAUUCCUGCACGAGAGAACGAGGAGCUCAGAAUGCUUCAUUCAGGAGCCACAUCACCAAAAAAAACAACCACUUCCUGUGGCUCUGUGUGGUUUUUAUGAAGAACAUAUUGACAUUUAACACUGUGGUAUCAAACACAGAAUAAUUCUAAUACAUAAAUAAUGCUAUAAUAGGAACAUGGAUGUUAAAACAACAGAGUUAAAAGGUAGAAGCUUGACAUUUCUUAAAACUAUAAAUUGUGUGUGUGCGUGUGCGUGUGCGUGUGUGUGUGUGUGUGUGUGUGUGUGUCAGGUUUGAGUUGUGAGGAGGCAGAGAGCUGUUCAAAACAAAGUCUUGCCAAUUAAAAAGAGCAUCUCAACAUUUUACACCCUCCUGACGUCUGAUGAUUCACUUUGAACUCAUUUUGUUUUCCUGAUCAGCAGCUUCACAUAAACACUGUUUCACUGACUCAGAGGUGUAAAUCCACACUGAAGUGUUUGAGCUUGGCUAAAAGUAAAUGUGCUCAUUUAAAUGAAAUAGCCCAUCAGUGUCCCUAACUCCCAUGCAUGUGGUCCCCAACCUGUUUUUCUUGCAAUUCCUUAAACAUGAAGCAAUGUCUCCUUUAUGUUAAGUCUCGUUAUAGGUUAAAUGUCUUUAUGCUGUGAGAGGUUUUAUUGAAGACGAAACCAGAAAUUUAUUUUUCAAAUGAUUCUCCUGUCAGAUUUUUUGAUUUGAAUCAUUUAAAAAAAAAAAAUUCUGCAGUAUAAAUUUAUCUUUAAAUUUUCAGUCUUUGCUUCAGUCUUUUUCUUUUUGCGUGAAUUGUUGAAUACUUUUGCCUCUUUUUGCCCAAAAAAGGAUUACCAUAAAUCUGAAGGGGAAGUUUUACUCAGAGAAUGUAGACAUGUACAAAGUGAUGGGAAGCUCCAAAAUAGAUGAUUGGUUUUGUGGUGUCACAAGCUAAAAUUACGGCUGUCGAGAUCACCUUAAGUCCGCUAGAGGUCAAAGUAUGUGAUGUUUAUAUGAUGUUUAAAGUGAUAAAGAUCAGUUUAACCCCCAAA
Molecule: RNA transcript, 2675 nt
Organism: Anoplopoma fimbria (sablefish)
Lineage: Eukaryota; Metazoa; Chordata; Actinopteri; Perciformes; Anoplopomatidae
Gene name: small glutamine-rich tetratricopeptide repeat-containing protein alpha-like
Exons: 12
Source: RefSeq, a predicted model, not a curated record